This 328-nucleotide ribosomal RNA is filed under the name uncultured Streptococcus sp. RNAcentral describes it as "bacterial SSU rRNA". It matches the Rfam family "Bacterial small subunit ribosomal RNA", at positions 1051 to 1382 of the family's 1533-position model. Lineage: Bacteria; Bacillati; Bacillota; Bacilli; Lactobacillales; Streptococcaceae. The record is from RNAcentral.
GUCGUCAGCUCGUGUCGUGAGAUGUUGGUUAGUCCCGCAACGAGCGCAACCCCUAUUGUUAGUUGCCAUCAUUCAGUUGGGCACUCUAGCGAGACUGCCGGUAAUAAACCGGAGGAAGGUGGGGAUGACGUCAAAUCAUCAUGCCCCUUAUGACCUGGGCUACACACGUGCUACAAUGGUUGGUACAACGAGUUGCGAGUCGGUGACGGCGAGCUAAUCUCUUAAAGCCAAUCUCAGUUCGGAUUGUAGGCUGCAACUCGCCUACAUGAAGUCGGAAUCGCUAGUAAUCGCGGAUCAGCACGCCGCGGUGAAUACGUUCCCGGGCCUU